Molecule: ribosomal RNA, 534 nt
Filed under: Fusarium redolens
Lineage: Eukaryota; Fungi; Ascomycota; Sordariomycetes; Hypocreales; Nectriaceae
Description: eukaryotic LSU rRNA
Rfam family: 5.8S ribosomal RNA (bases 154-307)
Source: RNAcentral
GUGGUUAUACGGAGUUAAUCUCCAACCCCUGUGACAUACCUUACUGUUGCCUCGGCGGAUCAGCCCGCUCCCGGUAAAACGGGACGGCCCGCCAGAGGACCCCUAAACUCUGUUUCUAUAUGUAACUUCUGAGUAAAACCAUAAAUAAAUCAAAACUUUCAACAACGGAUCUCUUGGUUCUGGCAUCGAUGAAGAACGCAGCAAAAUGCGAUAAGUAAUGUGAAUUGCAGAAUUCAGUGAAUCAUCGAAUCUUUGAACGCACAUUGCGCCCGCCAGUAUUCUGGCGGGCAUGCCUGUUCGAGCGUCAUUUCAACCCUCAAGCCCUCGGGUUUGGUGUUGGGGAUCGGCGAGCCUUUCUGGCAAGCCGGCCCCGAAAUCUAGUGGCGGUCUCGCUGCAGCCUCCAUUGCGUAGUAGUAAAACCCUCGCAACUGGAACGCGGCGCGGCCAAGCCGUUAAACCCCCAACUUCUGAAUGUUGACCUCGGAUCAGGUAGGAAUACCCGCUGAACUUAAGCAUAUCAUAACCGGGAGGAA